RNAcentral lists this ribosomal RNA (429 nucleotides) under Bacteroidota bacterium. RNAcentral describes it as "Bacteroidetes bacterium partial 16S ribosomal RNA". It matches the Rfam family "Bacterial small subunit ribosomal RNA", at positions 355 to 776 of the family's 1533-position model. The record is from RNAcentral. Lineage: Bacteria; Pseudomonadati; Bacteroidota.
UAGGGAAUCUUCCGCAAUGGACGCAAGUCUGACGGAGCAACGCCGCGUGAGUGAAGAAGGAUUUCGGUUCGUAAAACUCUGUUGUUAGAGAAGAACAGCGCAUAGAGUAACUGUUAUGCGUGUGACGGUAUCUAACCAGAAAGCCACGGCUAACUACGUGCCAGCAGCCGCGGUAAUACGUAGGUGGCAAGCGUUGUACGGAUUUAUUGGGCGUAAAGCGAGCGCAGGCGGUCAAUUAAGUCUGAUGUGAAAGCCCCCGGCUCAACCGGGGAGGGUCAUUGGAAACUGGUUGACUUGAGUGCAGAAGAGGGGAGUGGAAUUCCAUGUGUAGCGGUGAAAUGCGUAGAUAUAUGGAGGAACACCAGUGGCGAAGGCGACUCUCUGGUCUGUAACUGACGCGGAGGCUCGAAAGCGUGGGUAGCAAACAGG